AAUAAGUGCAGUUUUAGCAUUGUUCAUGUCUAACGUUUGACCGUUCGUCUUAUUUGAAAAAAAAUUAUGAUUAGUAUUUUUAUUGUUAUUAGAUGAUAAAACAUGAAUAGUAUUUUAUGUGUGACUAUUUUUUAAAUAUUUUUUAUAAUUUUUUUAAAUAAGAUGGAUGAUUAAAACGCUCAGCACGUAUAUUUAUGGCUGCACUUAUU
MicroRNA precursor from Oryza sativa Japonica Group (Japanese rice), 209 nucleotides. It matches the Rfam family "MIR812 microRNA precursor family". The record is from Rfam. Lineage: Eukaryota; Viridiplantae; Streptophyta; Magnoliopsida; Poales; Poaceae.